RNAcentral lists this ribosomal RNA (293 nucleotides) under uncultured bacterium. RNAcentral's name for it is "partial 16S ribosomal RNA". It matches the Rfam family "Archaeal small subunit ribosomal RNA", at positions 455 to 747 of the family's 1478-position model. The record is from RNAcentral.
GUGCCAGCCGCCGCGGUAAUACCGGCAGCUCAAGUGAUGUCCCAUAUUAUUGGGCCUAAAGCGUCCGUAGCUGGCCGACCAAGUCUCCCGGGAAAUCCACCCGCUCAACGGGUGGGCGUCCGGUAGAAACUGGCCGGCUUGGAACCGGAAGGCUCAGAGAGUACGUCCGGGGUAGGAGUGAAAUCCCGUAAUCCCGGACGGACUACCGAUGGCGAAAGCACGUCGCGAGGACGGAUCCGACAGUGAGGGACGAAAGCUAGGGUCUCGAACCGGAUUAGAAACCCUGGUAGUCC